Molecule: ribosomal RNA, 348 nt
Filed under: uncultured bacterium
Lineage: Bacteria
Description: bacterial SSU rRNA
Rfam family: Bacterial small subunit ribosomal RNA
Source: RNAcentral
AGAGUUUGAUCAUGGCUCAGAUUGAACGCUGGCGGCAUGCUUUACACAUGCAAGUCGAACGGCAGCACAGGGAGCUUGCUCCCGGGUGGCGAGUGGCGCACGGGUGAGUAAUACAUCGGAACGUGUCCUGUUGUGGGGGAUAACUGCUCGAAAGGGUGGCUAAUACCGCAUGAGACCUGAGGGUGAAAGCGGGGGAUCGCAAGACCUCGCGCAAUUGGAGCGGCCGAUGCCCGAUUAGCUAGUUGGUGAGGUAAAGGCUCACCAAGGCGACGAUCGGUAGCUGGUCUGAGAGGACGACCAGCCACACUGGGACUGAGACCACGGCCCAGGACCUCCGUACGGGAGGGA